AUGGCUGCCCCUCCUAGUCCUCGGCCUCCUGUCAUGGUGCUUCCCUUCCCUGCACAGGGCCAUGUCAUGCCCCUCAUGGAGCUCUCCCACCGGCUCGUCGCCCACGGCCUCGAGGUGGACUUCGUGAACACGCACUACAACCACGACCGCGCCCUCAAGGCCAUGGCCGCCGAGAGAGGAGCCGUUGACCCCGACGGCAUCCACAUGGUCUCGCUCCCGGACGGCAUGGGCCCCGACGGCGACCGCACCGACAUCGCCUUGCUGGGCAGCGGCUUGCCGGCGGCCAUGCUCGGACCCCUCGAGGAGAUGAUCAGGUCCAAGAAGAUCAAGUGGGUGAUCGCCGAUGCGUCCAUGUGCUGGGCGAUGGAGCUGGCCGCCACGGCCGGCGUCCGCGUCGCCCUGUUCUCGACUUUCUCGGCCGCCGUGUUCGCGCUCCGGCUGCACGUGCCCAAGCUGAUCGACGAUGGCGUCCUCGACGAGUCUGGGAACGUGAAGAGGAACGAGACGAUCCAGCUGAGCCCCAAGAUGCCGCCGAUCGAGGCUGCCGAGCUACCAUGGGUCUGUGUGAGCAGCUUGCCGGAGAGACGCAGGUUGAUGAUUCAGAUCUUGCUCAAGACCAACCCGGUGAUACCGCUGGCCGCCAUCGUCAUCUGCAACACGUUCGAGGGGAUCGAGUCGGAGGCGCUGGAUCUCGUCCCCAACGCGCUGCCCGUCGGCCCCCUGGAAGCGCCGGCGGCGUCGAGGUCAGCCGGCCAACUCUGGCCACAGGACCUUGUCUGCCUCCCCUGGCUCGACGCGCAGGCUCGCGGCUCGGUCAUCUACGUAGCGUUCGGGAGCUUCACCGUCUUCGACGCGGCGCGGAUCCAGGAGCUCGCCGACGGGCUCGAGCUCACGGGCCGGCCUUUCCUUUGGGCGGUCCGGCCGAACAUCACCGCCGGAAUCGGAGAAGAUUGGUUCGACGCGUUCAAGCGCCGCGUGGAGGGGAAGGGGCUGGUGGUGGGCUGGGCGCCGCAGCAGCGCGUGCUCUCGCACCCCGCCGUCGCCUGCUUCGUGUCCCACUGCGGGUGGAACUCGACCAUGGAAGGCAUGCUGCACGGGGUGCCUUUCCUCUGCUGGCCCUACUUUGCCGACCAGUUCGCCAACCAGAGCUACAUCUGCAACGUGUGGGGCACCGGCGCCAAGGUCCACGCCGACGAGAGAGGGGUGGUCACCAAGGAGGAGAUCAAGAACAAGGUCGAGCUGCUGCUGGGUGACGAUGGGAUAAAGGCAAGGGCGGCUACGUGGAAGGACGCGGCGUCUGCCAGCAUCGCACAGGGAGGCUCGUCAGAUCAGAACCUGCUCAAGCUUGUGAAAUUUCUAACACAACAAUAG
Molecule: ribosomal RNA, 1371 nt
Filed under: Triticum aestivum (bread wheat)
Lineage: Eukaryota; Viridiplantae; Streptophyta; Magnoliopsida; Poales; Poaceae
Description: partial small subunit ribosomal RNA
Source: RNAcentral